Molecule: non-coding RNA, 318 nt
Organism: Tinamus guttatus (white-throated tinamou)
Lineage: Eukaryota; Metazoa; Chordata; Aves; Tinamiformes; Tinamidae
Source: RefSeq, a predicted model, not a curated record
UGCGAGCAGUACACGACGUUCGGCGAGUGCCUGAGCUCGGGGGACCCGCACUGCGGCUGGUGCGCCCUGCACCACGUGUGCUCGCCGAGGGACAGCUGCGAGCGGGCGGACGAGCCCAACCGCUUCGCCGCCAGCAUCGGGCAGUGCAUGAGCGUCACCGUGCAGCCCAGCAGCAUCUCCGUGUCCGAGCACAGCCUCCCACUCAGCCUGCUGGUGAGCGACGCGCCGGCCCUGUCGGCCGGGAUCCCCUGCCUCUUCGGAAACCUCACGGAGGUGGAAGGCGGCGUGUCGGGCAGCCAGGUCGUGUGCGUGUCACCG